GAUGAACGCUGGCGGCGUGCCUAAUACAUGCAAGUCGAACGAAGUACUUCGGUACUUAGUGGCGAACGGGUGAGUAAUACGUAAGCAACCUGCCUAUGGGACUGGGAUAACGUUUGGAAACGGACGCUAAUACCGGAUAGGUAGAGGAGAGGCAUCUCUUCUCUAUUAAAGUUUAGAUACACCGAUAGAUGGGCUCGCGUACGAUUAGAUAGUUGGUGAGGUAACGGCUCACCAAGUCGACGAUCGUUAGCCGGACUGAGAGGUUGAACGGCCACAUUGGGACUGAGACACGGCCCAGACUCCUACGGGAGGCAGCAGUGAGGAAUAUUGGGCAAUGGGCGCAAGCCUGACCCAGCAAUGCCGCGUGAAGGAAGACGGUUUUCGGAUUGUAAACUUCUUUAAGAGGGACGAUAAUGACGGUACCUCUUGAAUAAGCCACGGCUAACUACGUG
Molecule: ribosomal RNA, 452 nt
Filed under: uncultured bacterium
Lineage: Bacteria
Description: bacterial SSU rRNA
Rfam family: Bacterial small subunit ribosomal RNA
Source: RNAcentral